RNAcentral lists this ribosomal RNA (253 nucleotides) under uncultured bacterium. RNAcentral's name for it is "partial 16S ribosomal RNA". It matches the Rfam family "Bacterial small subunit ribosomal RNA", at positions 524 to 776 of the family's 1533-position model. The record is from RNAcentral.
UACAGAGGGUGCAAGCGUUAAUCGGAAUUACUGGGCGUAAAGCGUGCGUAGACGGUUAUGUAAGUCGGGUGUGAAAGCCCCGGGCUCAACCUGGGAAUUGCAUUCGAGACUGUGUAGCUAGGGUACGGAAGAGGGAAGCGGAAUUUCAGGUGUAGCGGUGAAAUGCGUAGAUAUCUGGAGGAACACCGGUGGCGAAGGCGGCGUUCUGGACUGCAACUGACACUGAGAAACGAAAGCCAGGGGAGCAAACGGG